GCCCGUCGCUCCUACCGAUUGGAUGACUCGGUGAAAUCACCGGAUGCUUACGAGCAGAAAGUGAUUAAAUCACGUUAUCUAGAGGAAGGAGAAGUCGUAACAAGGUAACGGUAGGUGAACCUGCCGUUGGAUCAGUUCUAGUUUUAAUAACUAACACCAACUUCUUUUAUUAAACAAAAACCAAUACAAAAUUAAAAACUAACUUCAUCAAAAACCAAGUCUCUAAGCAAUGGAUGUCUUGGCU
RNAcentral lists this ribosomal RNA (244 nucleotides) under Trichomonas vaginalis G3. Its description in RNAcentral is "5.8S ribosomal RNA". The stretch from base 1 to 137 matches the Rfam family "Eukaryotic small subunit ribosomal RNA", at positions 1671 to 1831 of the family's 1831-position model. Lineage: Eukaryota; Parabasalia; Trichomonadida; Trichomonadidae. The record is from RNAcentral.